CUCCCCCCAACUUAAAGUUACAUUGUCCUCAAUGCAUAAACAUGUCUCCAAAAAUAAAGAAGGGGAAAGGUAUCACCUGAGUGCUGCAGUGAAUUAACUUAAGUUCGAAGGAUGAGAAGCCUGAAAGAACUCAAUGGAUGGAUAAUGCAAGGAGUAAAAAAUAAACCAAAAAAAAAUGAAUGCAAAUCAUACUAAAAAGAAAAAUCUAAAACUAAUAUACAGAAAAAUAAAGUGAAGGAUGAACCUGAGUGAAGCUAAGGGUGGUCAACAGGGUCUGCAAGGGGAAUUUCUUCCACUGCAGGCACCGAUUGCCCAAAAGCUAUUUUGAGACGCUGUCCAUUCACUUUGAACACUCUACCAUCAUUAGGAUCCUCAAUUUCAACCGCUCGAUUUUCAAAGACUCGUAAUACCACAAAGGGACCAGUCCACCUAGAACGAAG
Molecule: long non-coding RNA, 440 nt
Filed under: Olea europaea (common olive)
Lineage: Eukaryota; Viridiplantae; Streptophyta; Magnoliopsida; Lamiales; Oleaceae
Description: long non-coding RNA (OEUR_LNC007616)
Source: RNAcentral